Molecule: long non-coding RNA, 490 nt
Filed under: Nicotiana benthamiana
Lineage: Eukaryota; Viridiplantae; Streptophyta; Magnoliopsida; Solanales; Solanaceae
Description: long non-coding RNA (NBEN_LNC022107)
Source: RNAcentral
AAUAGACGGUCCCCUCUAAAAGACAAAAAAAUACUGCGCAGCUACACCCCAUCAUAUGCCUUGCUUCCAUCAUCGGCGAGCUCACGAAGAACAUGAGAACAGUAGCGCCUCGUCUCUUCACUCCCUCCGAUUUGUCUAUGCCUCACGUAUGCGCACCAUUCAUAAGAUCAUAAGGAAUAGUUAGCCGAAAACUCAAAACAAGCAGCUAAAAAGUUAGAUUCUCAACAGCUGAAAAUACUAAGAAAUAGUUAUACAUCUAUAAAAUCUAGAAAAAAAAAGCCACUGAAUUUUUGAAAUGAAAGAAGAACUUUAAAUCUGAUAAAAACCCUGAUUCAACUUCAAGCUGUUGGAUCUUCGAAGGUGAUUUUCUACAAUUGCGAGCCUCCCCAAACUUCUGUCGCAUCAUCUAAAGGAGUUGUUUGCUUGCUGAGUUCGUUUGGGAUGUUGCUGUUAAGUUUCAACUCUCUCCUAUUUUUGUAUUUAUUUGGCU